This 802-nucleotide long non-coding RNA is filed under the name Homo sapiens (human). RNAcentral describes it as "HSALNT0224222". Lineage: Eukaryota; Metazoa; Chordata; Mammalia; Primates; Hominidae. The record is from RNAcentral.
AGUUCCGUUUUGCGAUGUGGUUUCGUUCUUCUUUCGCUCUUUGUAAUAAAUCUUGCUACUGCUCACUGUUUGGGUCUACACUGCCUUUAUGAGCUGUGACACUCCCCAGGAAGGCCUGCAGCUUCACUCCUGAAACCAGCGGGACCACGAACCCAUCAGAAGGAAGAAACUCCAAACACAUCCCAAUAUCAGAAGGAACAAACUCCAGACACGCCGCUUUUAAGAACUGUAACACUCACCGCGAGGGUCUGCAGCUUCAUUGUUGAAGUCCGUGAGACUAAGAAUCCUCCAAUUCCGGGCACAGGAUUAUGCUGCAGUAACAAACAACCCAAGUCCCAGGAGCUUAAAACAAGAGUUUAUUUUUCACCAAAAUUAUCUAUUUAAUAAUGCAGGGUGGAGGAGGCAGAGAAGUACAAUCCACCCAGGAGCUUGGGAGGAAAGGAGAAUAGCCUCUGAAUCAUAGAAGACUCCAUGGCAGCUGCUUUUGUCUCCCUUUGUCACUGCCACGCCUCCUCUUCCUCCAUAAAUAGACAUUCCAGUGCUUUUGGUGUGUAUCCUCUUUAUUUGCAUGUGUUCUUGCAAAAUGUGUAGCGUUGUAUUAUGGACAUGUGCUUGUGAUGUAUGUAGAUCUAUUGCGCUGCAAGGCUUUUAGUCUAUUUUUCUCUUUUUUUUUUAAUUUAACACUUUUUAAUAUCCAUCCAUUUUGCUAAAUGUGAAUCUAGUCUUAUAACUGCUGCGCAUAUCACAUUUUACUUAUUUACUCUCUCAGUGAUGGGUAUCUAGAUCACAUCUUGCUGUCAUA